Molecule: long non-coding RNA, 2391 nt
Organism: Dendronephthya gigantea
Lineage: Eukaryota; Metazoa; Cnidaria; Anthozoa; Malacalcyonacea; Nephtheidae
Exons: 8
Source: RefSeq, a predicted model, not a curated record
GAUAUUUGUAGCUGUUUCUUUGAUGCCGCUUUGUAUAAAUUCGACUUUGUAGCAGACCAGCUCUACAUUCUCGCAAUGGCAUGCACAAGAGAGCACACUACAGACGGGGAGAGAGCAACUUCAUGCACGUUUAAAAUAGUAAUGAUUCUUCUGGCCUGGAACCUAAUUCCCACUGCCUUGGUAAUCACAGCCUUUGUGGAGCUACGAAGCAAUUUAAAAGGGGAACUAGAACGCGGUAUCAAAGUGAAUGAGUCACGGCCUGCACUGGUGCACUUAACCGGGCAUCACAGCGACCGGGGAAAAUUGAAUGAUGAAGUGCUGGAUAUUUAGAAAACGGCAAGUUCUAAAAUGACUUCGCUUGGUGCCAACCUGAGUUCAAUCAUAAUAAAGGAAAGCGGCAACUACUUUGUCUAUGCUCAGCUAUACUUUCAAGUUCCAUUCAACUCAAAGCUGGACAAGUUCGACCAGAGCUACUUGGCAUUUUUCGUUUGUCGAAUAUCCAAAGCCACAACGAGUAUCUUGAUGCGAGCCGUGGCAUCAAACGGCUUCCAAGGGAAGAAGAAUGUAUUGACAUAUCACAAAUCUUUUAGAAGCAAGGCAACAACAUCCUAGUCCAGAAUGAAUGCAAUCGACAGCGUAUUGCAAUAUUGAUAACAUAGUAAACACCGUCUGUGUAGAAAACUUCGACGACACUAAAGAUUGUUUCGACCAGGCAGAAAGCGAGCUAGAGCCAAGUCGGAAGCGUGUUCGGAUGGAAAGACACACCCCGUCUUCUGAAAGAAAAAGAUGAGGAACAGGAGACUGUUUUUCUCUGUGCGCGCUCGAAAGUGUCUAAAUAAAAUAGACAAAAUCCAUACCGUUUCAAUCUCCCGCCAAAAUUACAUCGCCGCGCGCCUCCACAAGCGCUCUCAUUAAAUCUAAAGAAAUAACGCCACAAGAAAAAAAGCGUCGCAUUAAAACAAAAGGUGGCCAAUUCAUGAAAUCCCGGAAUGUUGUUGCGUAUGCCUAUCAGGAAAACAUCAACGAAGUUAUCGGCAAUUUGGCAUCAAUUUGUUGUGGUUGGGGCAACGGAUGUGAUCUUCUCAAGACUGGAGGCCAAAGAAGCAUUCAACACGACUCUUUCGAAACAAAGCCAGUCAAUUCUCCUAAAAUCCAUUCGAAUGCCAGAUUGGGCCUAUCUUCUUUUGAGAAUCAGAACAAAAAUUUCAGAUGCUUUCAGAUGGAAGACCCUAUACUUAACCUUACCCAACUUGGAUCACCUAGGAAAACCACAGACUUCGCCAUUCUUCCAACAAAGAACCAAAUUUGUGCAAUGAAAGUGGUGCUGUUUGGCGCUACUUACGACACUGUUGGAACUAGUGAAUUACCUGAUGGGCUCCUAGAUGCACAAGUAAACCUAGUUUCUGUGUUGGUAUGGGGUAUUCGGGAAAUGCGAUUGCAUCAAGUAGAUGGCAGUGGCAACGACCGAACGCUACAUUUCAAUUUCAAACUGGAUGUAGACCUUUUUGGGGUAAAGAACUGAUAUCGUUCGGUGUGGUAUGCAUGCAGAUGAAGCUGGAGUCACAUCUCGCAAAAGACAAAUGUCCAUUUUUGCAUUUUGAUUCUGAAAUGAAUAUUCAAGAAGAGCUCCUUUCUUUUUUACAGCGCAAAUGGGCUUCGAGUGAAGAAGUAUUGAUUACACAAGUUAAUCUUAGAUGCCUUACAAACAAGUGUCUAUUGUGAAUGUGGAGCGAAAGGUGAAUGAGUCACGGCCUGCACUGGUGCACUUAACCGGGCAUCACAGCGACCGGGGAAAAUUGAAUGAUGAAGUGCUGGAUAUUUGGAAAACGGCAAGUUCUAAAAUGACUUCGCUUGGUGCCAACCUGAGUUCAAUCAUAAUAAAGGAAAGCGGCAACUACUUUGUCUAUGCUCAGCUAUACUUUCAAGUUCCAUUCAACUCAAAGCUGGACAAGUUCGACCAGAGCUACUUGGCAUUUUUCGUUUGUCGAAUAUCCAAAGCCACAACGAGUAUCUUGAUGCGAGCCGUGGCAUCAAACGGCUUCCAAGGGAAGAAGAAUGGUCUGUAUACCUCAUAUUCCGGUAGUGUUCACCAACUUAAAGAGGGAGAUGUACUGUUUGUUAGUGUAGUUAAAAAACAACGCGUCGUGGUAAACACAAACGAAAGCAGCUCCUUUUUUGGAGCUUUUAAACUUGAAUUUUAUAUUUAUUUUAGUAUUGACAUAUCACAAAUCUUUUAGAAGCAAACAUGUUUCGGCAAACUGUCAUCUUCAGUACGAUGUGUAAGUGCGAUGUGUGCAAUUUAGAUAUAAAUGCAAGGUCUUUGCUGGCACGUGUUAUACACAUAUGAUACAAACAUGAAAUGUCGAAGCCAUGAAAGCGGAAAUUAUUUAC